This is a long non-coding RNA of Dromaius novaehollandiae (emu), 966 nucleotides long. RefSeq lists it as uncharacterized. The transcript has 5 exons. The record is from RefSeq and is a predicted model, not a curated record. Lineage: Eukaryota; Metazoa; Chordata; Aves; Casuariiformes; Dromaiidae.
GCGGCCGUUACGCCGGGGCGGAGCCGUUGCAGUGCGGUUACGUUACGGGGGUACUCGCAGUAACACUUAUUUCCAGUGUUGACCUGACUGCAAAAUAUAGGACUUCAUGAAACUGUGAGAAGAGCAGCCUUCUAAGAUAUUGAAAGAUGGGACUCUUUAUAUGACAUCUCUGAAAUACCUCAAGUACCACUCCAGUUCUCUUCGCCGAGCAGAUCAAAGAGGACUUGAGCCAAGACCCACUGAAAGCAGUGGAAUAUAUCAGAUGCUGUUGUGAAGUCUUAACUUAAAAAGAAAAAGAGAGAGGAGGAAAAAAAAACCCAACAGUAUAUGAGUAUGUUUAACUGUUCCUGUAGGUGUAGUUUAUAUUUGAUCAUAUUUUGAAUUUGAGAAUUUUGUGUGUGUGUGUGAACAAUAAAGUGUGUGAGGAAAAAGUGUAUCUAUUGAUCUGUUAUCUACCUGUUUUCUUCCAGUUUGUAAAGCAGGUCCUUAUAGAUUGCUUUAGAGCCUGCUGUACAGGCUCUGUUGGAUGACAAGAACCGUGAGUAUUAAGAGGAAUAUGGUCGUCUAGUUGCAGAAAAUGCAAGUGUCAAACAUCUUUUUUUCUUUUGAGAAAGCACAGAGUGCAGCAUAGACAAGUCCUCUGGAUCAUAUCUGUGGAGGGAAUGAGAGAGAUUUUUAUCUUAAAAAUAAUCAGUAUUUUACCUAAAAAUACUAUUGUAUGACUGUUUAUGUAUGUAUCUAGACUUAACCUUUAGGGGAGGGAGAUAUUUUAAAACUCCCUCAAAGGGCUAUGGUAGAAGACCCUUAAUGAAUCUGGUGGCUCGUUUUCAACUGAGCUGCCUAUGCUGACACAUCUGCCACAGGUUACUGUCUCCACAGGAGAGCUGCCGGAAGGGACUCUGUCGUGUAUGCCUCGGGACCUGUCCAGCCUGGCAUCUUAGCUCAGACCGUUGGCAGAGGUGGGUU